This 200-nucleotide ribosomal RNA is filed under the name uncultured bacterium. RNAcentral's name for it is "partial 16S ribosomal RNA". It matches the Rfam family "Bacterial small subunit ribosomal RNA", at positions 30 to 233 of the family's 1533-position model. The record is from RNAcentral.
AUUGAACGCUGGCGGCAGGCCUAACACAUGCAAGUCGAGCGCGAAAGUUCUUCGGAAUGAGUAAAGCGGCGGACGGGUGAGUAAUACAUGGGAAUCUGCCUGGUAGUGGGGGACACGUUUCGAAAGGAACGCUAAUACCGCAUACGCCCUACGGGGGAAAGGGGGGGAUCGUCGAACGCCCUCGCUAUCAGAUGAGCCCA